Molecule: ribosomal RNA, 451 nt
Filed under: uncultured Sulfuricurvum sp.
Lineage: Bacteria; Pseudomonadati; Campylobacterota; Epsilonproteobacteria; Campylobacterales; Sulfurimonadaceae
Description: bacterial SSU rRNA
Rfam family: Bacterial small subunit ribosomal RNA
Source: RNAcentral
AGCAUGUGGUUUAAUUCGAAGAUACACGAAGAACCUUACCUGGCCUUGACAUGGUAGGAACCCUUAAGAGAUUAGGGGGUGCUAGCUUGCUAGAACCCUACACACAGGUGCUGCACGGCUGUCGUCAGCUCGUGUCGUGAGAUGUUGGGUUAAGUCCCGCAACGAGCGCAACCCUCGUCCUUAGUUGCUAACAGUUCGGCUGAGCACUCUAGGGAGACUGCCUUCGCAAGGAGGAGGAAGGUGAGGACGACGUCAAGUCAUCAUGGCCCUUACGGCCAGGGCUACACACGUGCUACAAUGGGGCGUACAGAGAGCUGCGAUACCGCGAGGUGGAGCCAAUCUCUUAAAGCGUCUCUCAGUUCGGAUUGUUCUCUGCAACUCGAGAACAUGAAGCUGGAAUCACUAGUAAUCGCAGAUCAGCUAUGCUGCGGUGAAUACGUUCCCGGGUCUU